RNAcentral lists this ribosomal RNA (822 nucleotides) under Bacillus stercoris. RNAcentral's name for it is "bacterial SSU rRNA". It matches the Rfam family "Bacterial small subunit ribosomal RNA", at positions 18 to 822 of the family's 1533-position model. Lineage: Bacteria; Bacillati; Bacillota; Bacilli; Caryophanales; Bacillaceae. The record is from RNAcentral.
CCUGGCUCAGGACGAACGCUGGCGGCGUGCCUAAUACAUGCAAGUCGAGCGGACAGAUGGGAGCUUGCUCCCUGAUGUUAGCGGCGGACGGGUGAGUAACACGUGGGUAACCUGCCUGUAAGACUGGGAUAACUCCGGGAAACCGGGGCUAAUACCGGAUGCUUGUUUGAACCGCAUGGUUCAAACAUAAAAGGUGGCUUCGGCUACCACUUACAGAUGGACCCGCGGCGCAUUAGCUAGUUGGUGAGGUAAUGGCUCACCAAGGCGACGAUGCGUAGCCGACCUGAGAGGGUGAUCGGCCACACUGGGACUGAGACACGGCCCAGACUCCUACGGGAGGCAGCAGUAGGGAAUCUUCCGCAAUGGACGAAAGUCUGACGGAGCAACGCCGCGUGAGUGAUGAAGGUUUUCGGAUCGUAAAGCUCUGUUGUUAGGGAAGAACAAGUACCGUUCGAAUAGGGCGGUACCUUGACGGUACCUAACCAGAAAGCCACGGCUAACUACGUGCCAGCAGCCGCGGUAAUACGUAGGUGGCAAGCGUUGUCCGGAAUUAUUGGGCGUAAAGGGCUCGCAGGCGGUUUCUUAAGUCUGAUGUGAAAGCCCCCGGCUCAACCGGGGAGGGUCAUUGGAAACUGGGGAACUUGAGUGCAGAAGAGGAGAGUGGAAUUCCACGUGUAGCGGUGAAAUGCGUAGAGAUGUGGAGGAACACCAGUGGCGAAGGCGACUCUCUGGUCUGUAACUGACGCUGAGGAGCGAAAGCGUGGGGAGCGAACAGGAUUAGAUACCCUGGUAGUCCACGCCGUAAACGAUGAGUGCUAAGUG